UAUCUCAAAAAAACAAAAACAAACAAAAAAACCAAACCAACAACAACAGAACACCACACACCAGCGAACUGCGCAUCCGUCGUCUAUGGAGGUGACAUAGAUUUCAGGGCUGUCCCUCCAGGCCCCACAUUUCCCUACCACCAGAUUCAGCCCUUGCUUCCUUUGCCUGCAGAUUUACCGUUCUUGAUGACCCAACAAUCUUGACACCACCGCUCUUCCUCCUUCACCAGCAGAGGGGUUUUAGAGACUGGGUCUCAUGUACCCCAGACUGGCCUUCAUAGAUUUUUUUUUUUUUUUUUGGGUUUUGGUUUUUCGAGACAGGGUUUCUCUGUAUACCCCUUGCUGUCCUGGAACUCACUUUGUAGACCAGGCUGGCCUCGAACUCAGAAAUCCGCCUGCCUCUGCCUCCCGAGUGCUGGGAUUAAAGGCGUGCACCACCACGCCUGGCUAGAUUUUUUUAUAUAGUGCUGUGGAUAGAACCCAGGACUUUGUGGAUGUUAGGCAAGCGCUCUAUAGACCGAGCUACCUCUCCAGCCCAGAAGCAGGGCUCAGAUGAGGCCUACAGCAAUGUUUUUCCAGCUCCUGCUUCCAAUGCAUAAAAUGGGAGCAUUGGACCAGCGAGCCCAUCCAGCUGCAACAUUCUUUGCCUCCGAUUCUGCAAGAUGCUGAUGAGGGAGCUGAGCAGGGCUGGACUCUGGAGUUAAUGAGGUUCUCUGGAGCUACCUAGGCUUGCAUCCUGCUAGGCUCUGUAUCCAGGAAACCAGACAAGGCUGAAAACCAGGGCAGGGGCUUGGCAAGGUCUGUACUGGGGGCUGAGAGAGGGGAACCUGACGGGCGAGGGAGCCUGGUGAGCAGGAGGAGGAGGAGAUUAAAGGGGAAAUAUAAUCAAAUAAGUGAUGUAUUUCUGCAGAAAAGCUUCUCCCUGUCCUGGGAUAGCUCACCAGAUGUUGCCCAGAUGUUGCUGGUGAUGGGAAACAUCUCCCUCAGGGAUCUCAUCUGAACUCUUCCUGUUGGUGGGGAAUGAAGUAUCUGUUCCAAGGCAGGCAGGGUCGGGUGUGGAGCACUCAUCUGUAAAUAUGGCGCACGCGCACACACACACACACACAGAGUCUCUCUCUCUCUGGCAAAAACACCCCCAUAUUCUCAAUCCUCAGGGAAUUCUGAAUACUUGGAGACCUGUAAGUACUAAGGACCACCCACCCAUCCACUUACUUAGGAAAAUUAAAAUUAUUACAAGUUUUGAGGGCUUUUAUUGGGGGGGGGCAGAGUUUUUCAGUGUAACCCUAAUUAUCCUGGAACUCGAUCUAUAGACCAGGCUGGCUUCAAACUCCAGGAUCUGCCUGCUUCUGUCUCCAAGUGCUGGGAUUAAAGGUGUGCACCACCACUGCCUGGGUUAGUAAUACUCUUUGGAAUGCGCUGAGAGGUAUUUUGGGUGGAAUAACCCCUAGGAACAGCAGCCACUACACGCCGGAGAAGCCGGUUAAGGAGAUCCAACAACUCUUACUGUUAUAGGCUUUACAGUUUCAGAUUCCUGGAACCGCUCUCGAUGACCUCACGCCCGUGACUUCACAUCCGGAACCUUCUGGGAAUUCUCAGCCGCACUUUUUCGUAAGAAAUCUAGCAGGGGAGGAGGUUGGGCGAGGCGGAGCUUUGCAGACUUUGCUGUGCGACCCGGACCCGCCCUCGGACCCGCCCCUCCCGCAGCGAGCACUCGAGGGCCCGCCCAUGCAGCUACUCUUAGCAGUUUGGAGCCCCAGGUUGAGCCUGAGCCAUUUGAAAUUAGCUAGGUGUGUUUAAGUCUGCUCUGUGGUCGUGGAUGAGAGAGUGUACUGAGAGGAGAACAAGAGUAAGGUGGAUUUGGAGGGAUCCACGAAUAGCCACCACUAACGGUGGCUUGGGUGCCCCACAGUGUGAUAGGACUUCAGGAAGUUGGGGCUGGGGCCAAAGAUGGACAUUUCUGAUGGCUCUGAAGUCCUCAGAGGAGCCUCAGAGUUGAGUCUUCAGGUCAAGCUUUCCAUAAAAGGUGGAUGGAAAAUGGGGUGUGGAGUCCAACCCAAGCAAAGCCAGGAUCCUGGGCUCUCGUGGCGUCAGCGUCAUGGGGGUCCCUCUCUUUCUUUAUGUACUUUUUUUUGUUUGUUUUUAGAGACAGGGUUUCUCUGUGUAACCCUGGCUGUCCUGGAACUCACUCUGUAGACCAGGCUGGCCUUACUCAGAAAUCCGCCUGCCUCUGCCUCCCAAAUGCUGGGAUUAAAGGCGUGCACCAUCACUGCCUGGCUGUUAAUGCUAUAUAUUAAAGAUUAAUAUCUUAAUGCUAUACAUUAUAUAUUAUACUAGAUAUUAAACCAUUUUUCUCUAGAGACUAGAGAUGGUGCUGUUGGUAGUCUGCUUUGCCUAGCAUCUACAAAGCCCUGGGUUUGAUCACCAGCAUAUUAUAAGCCAGCGUGGUGGGUGGCACAGCCCGUGACCCUAACGCUGGGGAGCUAGAGGCAGGAGGGGCAGAAGUGCAAGGUCAUCCUUAGUGACAAAGCAAGUUUGAAGCCUGCCUGGGCUACGUGAGACUCUGUCUCUAAAACGAUCACUUUCUUUACUGGGCCUGGUGGCUCACCCCUUAAAUCUCAGCCCUCAGGAGGCUGAGGCAGGGGGACUAUUGCAAAUCCAAAGCCAGUUUGGUCUAUAAAAUGAGUUUUAUUUUAGCUAGAACUUCAGAGCAAGACUUUGUCCCAGGUAAACAGAACAAAGGACAGAGAGAGAGAGAGACAGAGAGAGACAAAGACAGAGAGAGAGGGAGAGAGACAGAGAGGAAAGAGAGACAGAGAGAGACAGAGAAAGACAGAGAGAGAAGGAGAGAGAGGGGAGAGAGACAGAGGGGGAGAGAGACAGAGACAGAGAGACAGAGACAGGGAGAGACAGAGAGAAACAGAGUGACAGAGAGACAGAGAGAGAGAAAGACAGAGAGAAACAGAGAGAGACAGAGAGAGGGAGAUUGAUUUUCUUUUGUCUAAAAGUUCACUUGUACCCUUGUUCUACAGAUUUUUUUGUUUUUUUUAAACAUUUUUUUUAAGAUUUAUUUAUUUAUUAUAUGUAAGUACACUGUAGCUGUCUUCAGACACUCCAGAAGAGGGUCUCAGGUCUCAUUACAGAUGGUUGUGAGCCACCAUGUGGUUGCUGGGAUUUGAACUCUGGACCUUCGUAAGAACAGUCGGGUGCUCUUACCCACUGAGCCAUCUCACCAGCCCCUUUUUUUGGUUUUUUGAGAGAGGGUUUCUCUGUGUAGCCCUAGCUGUUCUGGAACUCAUUCCGGAGACCAGGCUGGCUUCGAACUCAGAGACCCACCUAUAUCCACCUGUCUUCCGAGUGCUGAGAUUAAAGACAUGUGCCAUCACCUCUGGCUCUCCUUCAGAUGUUAAAAGAAGCUAGAUUUUCAAGGGUCUCUGAAAGUAUUUUAGGCCUUAAACAGGAUGAGAACUGAAAGGAUCAGCUGGCCCUGGCCCAAGCCAGAAGAGUGACACAUUCUGGACAGAACAGCAAAGGCCCUCAAAGGACCCGAAGCUUGGGUGAUAAACAGCAGCUGCCAGGAAGAGAGAGGCUGGACCACCCACACAUGGGGAAUUUGAAGGGUCCUUAAUUUAAAUUUAAAUAAGAGGCAAGAGGUAUACACAGCCAAGUCGUCCUGGGCCAGGUGUAGUCUUUAUGAUGGUCACCACCUCCACUCCAGGUCCUCCUGCAAGAGUUAGUGUGUGAAAGCCCUUCCUGGAAGAUGGUUUCCCUCUCUGGCCGACAACAGGCUUCAACCUUUUCUUUCUCCAUCAUGGGAUUUUGGGGAAAUUUUCAGUUUCUUGGGGUCCGGUUUUUUUUUUUCUUUGGAGGGGUGAGGUGGGGUAAACAAUGUUUCUGUUUAGCCCUAGCUGUUCUGGAAUUCACUCUGUAGAUCUGGGUGGCCUCGAAUUCACCUACCGCUGCCUUCACUGAUAUGAAUGGUAAAGGUUUGUCU
Mus musculus (house mouse) is the source of this 3991-nucleotide long non-coding RNA. RefSeq annotates it as predicted gene, 33800. The transcript has 3 exons. The record is from RefSeq and is a predicted model, not a curated record. NCBI's taxonomy places the organism in Eukaryota, Metazoa, Chordata, Mammalia, Rodentia, Muridae.